Hyla sarda is the source of this 192-nucleotide small nuclear RNA. RefSeq annotates it as U2 spliceosomal RNA. Lineage: Eukaryota; Metazoa; Chordata; Amphibia; Anura; Hylidae. The transcript has a single exon. The record is from RefSeq and is a predicted model, not a curated record.
UUUGCUUCUCGGCCUUUUGGCUAAGAUCAAGUGUAGUAUGUGUUCUUAUCGGUUUCAUGCCGGUGGCAGGUGACGCUGGUGGGGAUGGGUGCUGCAUGGUAGGGGGCAGGUGUACUGGGGCACCAUGAUCUCUGCUCCUUGUGGCACUCACCUCUUGAUUCCCGGCCUUCUGACUAGGAUCAGAGACAUAUU